ACUCAAAGGAAUUGACGGGGGCCCGCACAAGCGGUGGAGUAUGUGGUUUAAUUCGAAGCAACGCGAAGAACCUUACCAGCUCUUGACAUGGGGAUUAUGGAUUUAAGAGAUUAAAUCCUUCGGUUCGGCCGGGUCCCACACAGGUGCUGCAUGGCUGUCGUCAGCUCGUGUCGUGAGAUGUUGGGUUAAGUCCCGCAACGAGCGCAACCCUCAUCGUUAAUUGCCAUCAGGUUGGGCUGGGCACUUUAACGAAACCGCCGGUGAUAAGCCGGAGGAAGGUGGGGAUGACGUCAAGUCCUCAUGGCCCUUAUGGGCUGGGCUACACACGUACUACAAUGGCGGUGACAAUGGGCAGCAAUAGGGCAACCUUGAGCAAAUCCAUAAAAACCGUCUCAGUUCGGAUUGUUCUCUGCAACUCGAGAGCAUGAAGUUGGAAUCGCUAGUAAUCGCGCAUCAGCAUGGCGCGGUGAAUACGUUCACGGGCCUUGCACACACCGCCCGU
RNAcentral lists this ribosomal RNA (502 nucleotides) under uncultured bacterium. RNAcentral's name for it is "partial 16S ribosomal RNA". It matches the Rfam family "Bacterial small subunit ribosomal RNA", at positions 899 to 1397 of the family's 1533-position model. The record is from RNAcentral.